Molecule: long non-coding RNA, 517 nt
Filed under: Solanum tuberosum (potato)
Lineage: Eukaryota; Viridiplantae; Streptophyta; Magnoliopsida; Solanales; Solanaceae
Description: long non-coding RNA (STUB_LNC005388)
Source: RNAcentral
GAAACAGAUGUGAAUUGUGAGGAAAUGAAGUUAAUGGAAGAUAUUCAAGAAUCACCAGAUCAUAAUUCGAGUCGAAACUCAUUGGAUAUGGAUGGGUUUGCUUCUCAAAAUGUUGACAGAGUUGAAGGAACAACUGUGAACUAUGAGGAAAUGAAGUUAAUGGAUGAUAUUCAAGAAUCACCAGAUCAUAAUUCAAGUCGAAACUCAUUGGAUAUGGAUGGUUUUGCUUCUCAAAAUGUUGACAGAGUUGAAGGAACAAAUGUGAACUAUGAGGAAAUGAAGAUAAUGGAUGAUUUUCAAGAAUCUCCAAAUCAUAAUUCGAGUCGGAAAUCAUGGGAUACAGAUGGUUUUGCUUCUCAAAAUGUUGACAGAAUUGAGGAAACAGAUGUGAACUAUGAGGAAAUGGAUGAUUUUCAAGAUUCUCCAGAUCAUAAUUCGAGUCGAAAAUUAUGGGAUACUGAUUCAGAUUCGGAUGACGAUGAUGAUAUCUUAUUAGAACAUCAGAAUUUAGUCAGGC